ACGGUAGUUCCGAUUUAUCGGAAUGAGAGUGGCGCACGGGUGCGUAACGCGUAUGCAACCUACCCUAUACAGGGGGAUAGCCCGGAGAAAUCUGGAUUAAUACCCCAUGGUACCAAGUUGAGGCAUUUUGAUUUGGUUAAAGAUUCAUCGGUAUAGGAUGGGCAUGCGUCUGAUUAGCUAGUUGGCGGUGUAACGGACCACCAAGGCGACGAUCAGUAGGGGUUCUGAGAGGAAGGUCCCCCACACUGGCACUGAGAUACGGGCCAGACUCCUACGGGAGGCAGCAGUAGGGAAUAUUGGGCAAUGGACGAGAGUCUGACCCAGCCAUGCCGCGUGCAGGAAGACGGCGUUCUGCGUUGUAAACUGCUUUUAUCUGGGAAGAAAAGGCCCAUGCGUGGGACAUUGCCGGUACCAGAUGAAUAAGCACCGGCUAACUCCGUGCCAGCAGCCGCGGUAAUACGGAGGGUGCAAGCGUUGUCCGGAUUUAUUGGGUUUAAAGGGUGCGUAGGCGGCUAUUUAAGUCAGUGGUGAAAGACUCCGGCUCAACCGGGGCAGUGCCAUUGAUACUGGAUAGCUUGAGUAUUGGAGGGGUACAUGGAAUUGAUGGUGUAGCGGUGAAAUGCAUAGAUACCAUCAGGAACACCGAUAGCGAAGGCAUUGUACUGGCCAAUAACUGACGCUGAUGCACGAAAGCAUGGGGAGCGAACAGGAUUAGAUACCCUGGUAGUCCAUGCCGUAAACGAUGAUUACUCGCUGUUAUGUCUUUAUGAUGUAGCGGCCAAGCGAAAGCGUUAAGUAAU
RNAcentral lists this ribosomal RNA (800 nucleotides) under Algoriphagus sp. Its description in RNAcentral is "bacterial SSU rRNA". It matches the Rfam family "Bacterial small subunit ribosomal RNA", at positions 66 to 868 of the family's 1533-position model. Lineage: Bacteria; Pseudomonadati; Bacteroidota; Cytophagia; Cytophagales; Cyclobacteriaceae. The record is from RNAcentral.